Long non-coding RNA from Sander lucioperca (pikeperch), 764 nucleotides. RefSeq lists it as uncharacterized. The transcript has 3 exons. NCBI's taxonomy places the organism in Eukaryota, Metazoa, Chordata, Actinopteri, Perciformes, Percidae. The record is from RefSeq and is a predicted model, not a curated record.
UCUAAGAGAAAAAGAAAAAGAAAGGAGUGAACACGACUUAUAGCCCGAAGAUAGAUAUUUUGCUAAGAAAAGUAGGCGGUUGUGGCACCGUUGAGCAGAAAAGGGAGUCGUUUUGGAUGAAACUGAGGGCACACGUCAUAUGCUCGCGGCAGCUCCAGCAGGCUAAUGACCCUACACUCUUUUAUGUCCAGCGCUCCCAAUUUAAGAAUAAACUGACUCACAUUCGAACUAAAUCUUAAAAUAUGAUUCAUUGAUUUAAGACGACAGAGGGGGGAGUAGCCCUACACAUAUUCCACUAAAUAACAACAGUCAAAUUGUAUUUUAUUGGGCACUGGUCUCUUAAGUCAGCCAUUUGAGAUAGAAAUAUUACUAGAGAUAUAAAUGGAUGUUAGCCUCUUUGCUCGUAACUGACCUCAAUAGUUAAAGGUCCCAUAUCAUGCUCAUUUUCAGGUUCAUACUUGUGUUUUGUGUUUCUACUGAACAUGUUUACAUGCUUUAAUGUUCAAAAAACACUUUAUUUUUCUAAUACUGUCUGUCUGAAUAUACCCGUAUUCACUCUCUGUCUGAAACGCUCCGUUUUAGCGUCUGUCUUUUUAAGCUAACCUGACAUGCAAGAUUGUUUGUUUGUUUGUUUGUGUCCCAAACUUUUUGGGAGAGGGCAAAAAAAUGCCUGGCAGGUGAUUGGAUGAACCAUCUGUCUGUCACGUCUGCCAUUGUUGAUUUGAACCAUUUUGAACAAACAGCCGCCCCGUCACACACACACA